RNAcentral lists this long non-coding RNA (358 nucleotides) under Calidris pugnax (ruff). RNAcentral describes it as "lncRNA (ENSCPUG00000003816.1)". The record is from RNAcentral. Lineage: Eukaryota; Metazoa; Chordata; Aves; Charadriiformes; Scolopacidae.
ACAAAAUCUUCUCAGAGGGGUUUUUCUGCUGCUGGAAAUAGGAAAAGAAACCUUGUUUGCAUGAAGGUGGUGUCAGAUGAUGAAGGAUCAGACUGGAAGAAGAGCCAGGACACCACCCCCAGUCACCUACACUUUGUGACCCUGGUUUAGGACUUUAUACCUUUGAUAUUUCUCAUCUACUGGACUCUGCUGAAUGGAGCCAUUGUUUUUCUUCUGAAAAUACCUGUUGAUGGCAUACUCCAGUGCAAGCAAAAUUAAAGACUAAGCUACUUAACCCACGUGUGUUCUUUGAACUAUCCCACUUAAACCUCCAGGAUAGCAGCACAUUGCAAACAGGCACGCUUCGUUAGCCCAUUCC